AGGAUUUGCUUAGAGCAGGGGGUUGAAAAGUGGCUCCUCUGUUUACAAUAUGCCCAAAAGGAAUCUGGGAUCAUUGUGACAAGGGACACAAAACUUGUGGCCUCCCUACAUGUGAAAAGAAAAAACAA
Molecule: small nucleolar RNA, 128 nt
Filed under: Aotus nancymaae (Ma's night monkey)
Lineage: Eukaryota; Metazoa; Chordata; Mammalia; Primates; Aotidae
Description: Small nucleolar RNA SNORA11 (ENSANAG00000003904.1)
Rfam family: Small nucleolar RNA SNORA11
About the family: U107 (SNORA11) is a member of the H/ACA class of snoRNAs that guide the sites of modification of uridines to pseudouridines.
Source: Rfam by way of RNAcentral